This 464-nucleotide ribosomal RNA is filed under the name Vreelandella stevensii. RNAcentral's name for it is "partial 16S ribosomal RNA". It matches the Rfam family "Bacterial small subunit ribosomal RNA", at positions 338 to 795 of the family's 1533-position model. Lineage: Bacteria; Pseudomonadati; Pseudomonadota; Gammaproteobacteria; Oceanospirillales; Halomonadaceae. The record is from RNAcentral.
CCUACGGGCGGCAGCAGUGGGGAAUAUUGGACAAUGGGCGAAAGCCUGAUCCAGCCAUGCCGCGUGUGUGAAGAAGGCCUUCGGGUUGUAAAGCACUUUCAGUGGGGAAGAAAACCUUGGGGCUAAUACCCUCGAGGAAGGACAUUACCCACAGAAGAAGCACCGGCUACUCCGUGCCAGCAGCCGCGGUAAUACGGAGGGUGCGAGCGUUAAUCGGAAUUACUGGGCGUAAAGCGCGCGUAGGCGGUCUGAUAAGCCGGUUGUGAAAGCCCCGGGCUCAACCUGGGAACGGCAUCCGGAACUGUCAGGCUAGAGUGCAGGAGAGGAAGGUAGAAUUCCCGGUGUAGCGGUGAAAUGCGUAGAGAUCGGGAGGAAUACCAGUGGCGAAGGCGGCCUUCUGGACUGACACUGACGCUGAGGUGCGAAAGCGUGGGUAGCAAACAGGAUUAGAUACCCGAGUAGUC